This is a non-coding RNA of Acanthosepion pharaonis, 112 nucleotides long. NCBI's taxonomy places the organism in Eukaryota, Metazoa, Mollusca, Cephalopoda, Sepiida, Sepiidae. The record is from the annotation of a GenBank genome assembly.
AUGGCUAUAUCAUGUUGAAACAUCAGUUCUCGUCCCGUCACUGAAGUUAAACAACAUUGAGCCUGAUCAGUACUUUUAUGGUUGACUUCUGGGGAAUACCAGGUGCUGUAAG